AGGGUUCGAUUAUGGCUCAGAACGUACGCUGGCGGCACGCCUAACACAUGCAAGUCGAACGAAGUAGCAAUACUUAGUGGCAGACGGGUGAGUAACAUGUAGGUAUCUGCCCUUUGGCCUGGAAUAACACGAGGAAACUUGUGCUAAUACCGGAUAAGUCUUUACGGAGAAAGCUUUAUGCACCAUUGGAUGAGCCUGCACUUGAUUAGUUUGUUGGUGGGGUAAUGGCCUACCAAGACUUUGAUCAAUAGCUGAUUUGAGAGGAUGAUCAGCCACAUUGGGACUGAGACACGGCCCAAACUCCUACGGGAGGCAGCAGUGGGGAAUCUUGCACAAUGGAGGAAACUCUGAUGCAGCGAUGCCGCGUGAGUGAAGAAGGCCUUUGGGUUGUAAAGCUCUUUCGUCGGGGAAGAAAAUGACUGUACCCGAAUAAGAAGGUCCGGCUAACUUCGUGCCAGCCGCCGCGGUA
This 469-nucleotide ribosomal RNA is filed under the name uncultured bacterium. RNAcentral describes it as "bacterial SSU rRNA". It matches the Rfam family "Bacterial small subunit ribosomal RNA", at positions 8 to 522 of the family's 1533-position model. The record is from RNAcentral.